RNAcentral lists this ribosomal RNA (429 nucleotides) under Bacteroidota bacterium. RNAcentral's name for it is "Bacteroidetes bacterium partial 16S ribosomal RNA". It matches the Rfam family "Bacterial small subunit ribosomal RNA", at positions 355 to 776 of the family's 1533-position model. The record is from RNAcentral. Lineage: Bacteria; Pseudomonadati; Bacteroidota.
UAGGGAAUCUUCGGCAAUGGGGGGAACCCUGACCGAGCAACGCCGCGUGAGUGAAGAAGGUUUUCGGAUCGUAAAGCUCUGUUGUUAAGGAAGAACGAGUGUGAGAAUGGAAAGUUCAUACUGUGACGGUACUUAACCAGAAAGGGACGGCUAACUACGUGCCAGCAGCCGCGGUAAUACAUAGGUCCCGAGCGUUGUCCGGAUUUAUUGGGCGUAAAGCGAGCGCAGGCGGUUAGAUAAGUCUGAAGUUAAAGGCAGUGGCUCAACCAUUGUAGGCUUUGGAAACUGUUUAACUUGAGUGCAGAAGGGGAGAGUGGAAUUCCAUGUGUAGCGGUGAAAUGCGUAGAUAUAUGGAGGAACACCGGUGGCGAAAGCGGCUCUCUGGUCUGUAACUGACGCUGAGGCUCGAAAGCGUGGGGAGCGAACAGG